CCCCUAGAUGUUCUGGGCCGCACGCGCGCUACACUGAUGCAUUCAACGAGUCUAAAACCUGCUCUGAUAGGGGUGGGUAAUCUUUUGAAUGUGCAUCGUGAUUGGGAUAGAUGAUUGCAAUUUUUCAUCUUCAACGAGGAAUGCCUAGUAAACGCAAGUCAUCAGCUUGCAUUGAUUACGUCCCUGCCCUUUGUACACACCGCCCGUCGCUCCUACCGAUUGAAUGAUCCGAUGAAUAUCAUGGAUUGAGGAUGCAAGUAGGUUAGCCUAUCUUCAUCUUCGAGAAGUGAAGUAAAUCUUAUCAUUUAGAGGAAGGAGAAGUCGUAACA
This 329-nucleotide ribosomal RNA is filed under the name uncultured eukaryote. RNAcentral describes it as "partial 18S ribosomal RNA". It matches the Rfam family "Eukaryotic small subunit ribosomal RNA", at positions 1470 to 1796 of the family's 1831-position model. The record is from RNAcentral.